Molecule: ribosomal RNA, 488 nt
Filed under: uncultured bacterium
Lineage: Bacteria
Description: partial 16S ribosomal RNA
Rfam family: Bacterial small subunit ribosomal RNA
Source: RNAcentral
AUUGAACGCUGGCGGCAGGCCUAACACAUGCAAGUCGAACGGUAACAGGAAGAAGCUUGCUUCUUUGCUGACGAGUGGCGGACGGGUGAGUAAUGUCUGGGAAACUGCCUGAUGGAGGGGGAUAACUACUGGAAACGGUAGCUAAUACCGCAUAACGUCGCAAGACCAAAAAGGGGGACCUUCGGGCCUCUUGCCAUCGGAUGUGCCCAGAUGGGAUUAGCUAGUAGGUGGGGUAACGGCUCACCUAGGCGACGAUCCCUAGCUGGUCUGAGAGGAUGACCAGCCAUACGGGGGCUGAGACACGGGCCGGACGCCUACGGGGGGCAGCCGUGGGGAGUAUUGGACGAGGGGGGCAUGGCUGAUGAAGCCAGGCCGCGGGUAUGAAGAAGGCCUUCUGGGUGUAAAGUACUUUUGGCGGUGAGGAAAGGAGAAAAGUGAAUACCUUUUCUCACUGCCGUUUCGCGCAGAGGAAGCCCCGCCUGUCUCCU